Molecule: long non-coding RNA, 450 nt
Filed under: Amborella trichopoda
Lineage: Eukaryota; Viridiplantae; Streptophyta; Magnoliopsida; Amborellales; Amborellaceae
Description: long non-coding RNA (ATRI_LNC002747)
Source: RNAcentral
UUUAAAUUGGUUAAGCACUUGACAAUUUGCAUCCUUACGUCCUGGACUCAAUUCUUACAAUCAGCGUUCUAUUCUUAGUCCAUGAGGACUACAUCAAGCCACUACAAUCAGCAUUUCUUGAAAACCUCGAAGAAGGCGCGAUCCAUGAGGACUACAUCAAGCCACACAAGGAAAGAAAUAAAGGAAAAGUAGGUAUGUGGUGAUGAAGCAAUUCACCCGCAAGGGGAAGAGAGAGAGAGGGUUGGGUUAAGCAACAACUUCAGCUAAUGGCUCCUCCUCAGCGUUUAAGGUGGCAAUGGGCCUCGGCUGGGCCAGCCCUGGUUCAGACCUGGUCUUUGUUCCCAAGCUGGGCCGCACCAAAAAUAAAUAAAUAAAAAAGUUGGAAAAAAAGAGGGCCGGGAUGCCUGGCCUCACACCACAUCACAAUGGACGACUAGAAAUUAUUAAACU